Molecule: non-coding RNA, 45 nt
Filed under: Schistosoma mansoni
Lineage: Eukaryota; Metazoa; Platyhelminthes; Trematoda; Strigeidida; Schistosomatidae
Source: RNAcentral
ACACGGCUGACGAAUUGAAAAUAAGGUGAAACCCGCGUCCUGGAU